AACUUUUAGAAUCAUGCCCUAAUGCUUCUUGCCUAAGGUGGAAAAGGAAAAAGUAGAAGGCAAGUUAUCUAGCACGAUAUUAGCAGCAUGAUUGUUGAAUCUGAGAGAAGGGUUAAAUUAAAGACACCAGAUGGAUUGUUAGAAGCAUGAAAGUAUCGAUGCUUUAUCAGAGUUAUGGACAUGUAGAGGCUGCGAUAAAGAGCUAUAGACUAGCAUUGAUACUUCGUCCAGACUUUCUCGAAGCUACUUGCACUCUUCUGCACACACUUCAGUGUCUGCUAUUGGGAGGGUCGUGAUAAAAUGUUUAAGGAAGUUGAAGGGAUCAUCAGAUAGCAGAUCAAUGUCAAGACCAUAUGAAUCUACCCACGGUUGCAUGAGAACUUAGUUUUUGAAGAGUUAUUUUGUUAACUAGUUAAAUCAGAUCAAUACAAAGAAAUUAUAUUUUUUGGCUUAACAUUCACCAAACAGAUUCAAUCUUAUUAUUGGCGGUGAUUCUUGAGAGUAGAAGCUUGUUAUUCAUAUCAAUCAAGCCUGUUACUAUAUUAAUAUCCUAGAAGACGUUAACAUCUGUUCACGGUGUUCUUUUAGCAAUAUUGAUUUGUAUUGUCAUCAACUUUCUUUUAAGGUACUCUGCUUCAUAUGUAGUUUUCAAAUUCUGUAGCUCUUCAGUUUGCCAACUUUGAUUGAGUUCACUUGUCACAA
Long non-coding RNA from Neltuma alba, 702 nucleotides. RefSeq lists it as uncharacterized. The record is from RefSeq and is a predicted model, not a curated record. NCBI's taxonomy places the organism in Eukaryota, Viridiplantae, Streptophyta, Magnoliopsida, Fabales, Fabaceae. The transcript has 3 exons.